This is an RNA transcript of Myotis lucifugus (little brown bat), 617 nucleotides long. It is a transcript of the gene named 60S ribosomal protein L9 pseudogene, with no coding region annotated. The transcript has a single exon. NCBI's taxonomy places the organism in Eukaryota, Metazoa, Chordata, Mammalia, Chiroptera, Vespertilionidae. The record is from RefSeq and is a predicted model, not a curated record.
GCCGCAUCUACUGCGAGGAUGAAGACCAUUCUCAGCAAUCAGACUGUGGACAGCCCAGAAAAUGUGGACAUCACUCUGAAGAGAUGCACUGUUAUUGUGAAGGUCCCCAGAGGCACCCUGCGGAGGGACUUCAACCACAUCAGUGUAGAGCUCAGUCUCCUUGGAAAGAAAAAGAAGAGGCUCUGGGUUGACAAGUGGUGGGGAAAUAGAAAGGAACUGGCUACAGUUCGCACUGUCUGUAGUCAUGUACAGACCAUGAUCAAGGGUGUUACACUGGGCUUCCGUUACAAGAUGAGGUCUAUGUAUGCUCACUUCCCCAUCAAUGUCAUUAUUCAGGAGAAUGGUUCUCUUGUUGAAAUUAGAAAUUUCUUGGGAGAAAAAUACAUCCGCAGAGUUCGGAUGAGGUCAGGCAUUGCUUGUUCAGUAUCUCAAGCCCAGAAAGAUGAGUUGAUUCUUGAAAGAAAUGACAUUGAACUUGUAUCAAAUUCAGCAAGCCACAACAGUUAAAAACAGGAUAUCAGAAAAUUUUGGGAUGGUAUCUAUGUUUCUGAAAAAGGAACAGUUCAGCAGGCUGAUGAAUAAGAUCUAAGUUGUCCAGCUAUAGAAACAUCAAGAUG